This is a long non-coding RNA of Hirundo rustica (Barn swallow), 975 nucleotides long. RefSeq lists it as uncharacterized. The transcript is spliced from 3 exons. The record is from RefSeq and is a predicted model, not a curated record. NCBI's taxonomy places the organism in Eukaryota, Metazoa, Chordata, Aves, Passeriformes, Hirundinidae.
GGGAGCGUGUAGGGAGAAGGGCCAGGACCAGAAGAGAAGGACUUUGGCGGGAAAGAAGGGAUCUCAAAACUGCGUGGGUUCGAGCUUCAGGAGGAAAAGAUUCAAAGGAUGCUGCCUUGGAAGUACCUGGGUCUGGAGACUGAGAGAAGUGCCAACUGCAGCUGAACGCAAAGCCACCGGUAAUGGUAAAGGAUCCAGCAACCAGGGAAACAGAGGGUCCUCAUGAUCUGAUCACCUGGGGUCGUGGGUAUGCCUGCGUGUCCACUCCCUCAGGUUCCAAGUGGGUGCCAGCCAAGUGGGUGAAACCUUUCAUCCCUAAAACUGCAAAACCACCUGCAGAGGCUCCACAAGUGGCCAGUGCUGCCUGGAGGAGGAGAAAGCGCCGAACCUUCUCCUUAUCAUUAUUUCUUAACAGUGUUUUUCUGGACAGUUUUGUUUGCACUAAAGGUCAUUUUUUUUUUCAACUUUAAAGGUACUCAAGGUCCGAACUCUGCGCAUCUCCCAUGAACCGAGCCUUCCUCCUUCUUAAUUUAAUAAGAAAAGGGGAAAUGUUGUAAUGCAUUAAUUGGGUUUAUAUUUCAUUGGAUUUGUAAUGGUUUUUCUAUGUAUCUGACCUGUGAUCUGCCCAUCCCCCACACUGAAAUGUAACUCAGCCCUGUUCCCUCCCACUUCUCCCUGAUUGGGUGGUGCCUCUGGGCCCUGCCUCUGGGCCCUGCCUCCUGGGGGAAAAAGCCCGGAUGGGGGAGGGGCCAGGUCUCUGUGGCAUCAGUGAACCAUCAGGACAGUCCAGCUAAGCAGAGCAGGACUUGAGAAUAAAAGCUGUAAAAUUCCAUCUGAAGCCAGAGAGCAGACUCUGUUACUUUUGCCAUCGGCGGCUGUCUAGUCUCUUGGGGAAAGCUACAAACUUAUAACAUGAUGUUGGCACAAUUGUGUUUAGUUUCCUUCACUGUGAGAAUCCUGUAUGUUUUUUAGCUA